Unclassified non-coding RNA from Cavia aperea (Brazilian guinea pig), 303 nucleotides. Its record names the gene 7SK. It matches the Rfam family "7SK RNA". From Rfam's summary of the family: 7SK was discovered as an abundant small nuclear RNA in the mid-70s but a possible function has only recently been suggested. Two independent studies have found that 7SK RNA binds the CDK9/cyclin T complex (known as elongation factor P-TEFb). NCBI's taxonomy places the organism in Eukaryota, Metazoa, Chordata, Mammalia, Rodentia, Caviidae. The record is from Ensembl.
AGAGAUUAGGCUGAUCUGGCUGGCUAGGCGGGUGUCCCCUCCUUCCUCAGCACUCCAGGUGUGUUCCUCCCUGAGCGCCUCUGAAGCAUACUCUGCUGAAGAGGACGACUCCCUCCCCCCAUGGAGGAUAAGCAGUCCUCCGUCAAGGGUACGGUACGUGAAUAGCUGCACUCCCUGGUUAGAACCUCCAGACAAGCUCUCAAGGUCCCUUUCAGUCCUAUUGCCCUUUGGCUUCGUAGAGUCUUAUUUGAAUUCCAUCCUCUGCUUGGUCACAAUUUACAAUGUGGCUUUGGGCAAAUAAUU